AACGCGAAGAACCUUACCAGGUCUUGACAUCCUCUGAAACCCUAGAGAUAGGGCUUCUCCUUCGGGAGCAGAGUGACAGGUGGUGCAUGGUUGUCGUCAGCUCGUGUCGUGAGAUGUUGGGUUAAGUCCCGCAACGAGCGCAACCCUUGAUCUUAGUUGCCAUCAUUAAGUUGGGCACUCUAAGGUGACUGCCGGUGACAAACCGGAGGAAGGUGGGGAUGACGUCAAAUCAUCAUGCCCCUUAUGACCUGGGCUACACACGUGCUACAAUGGACGGUACAAAGAGCUGCAAGACCGCGAGGUGGAGCUAAUCUCAUAAAACCGUUCUCAGUUCGGAUUGUAGGCUGCAACUCGCCUACAUGAAGCUGGAAUCGCUAGUAAUCGCGGAUCAGCAUGCCGCGGUGAAUACGUUCCCGGGUCUUGUACACACCG
RNAcentral lists this ribosomal RNA (432 nucleotides) under Bacillus thuringiensis. Its description in RNAcentral is "bacterial SSU rRNA". It matches the Rfam family "Bacterial small subunit ribosomal RNA", at positions 958 to 1392 of the family's 1533-position model. The record is from RNAcentral. Lineage: Bacteria; Bacillati; Bacillota; Bacilli; Caryophanales; Bacillaceae.